AGUAGUCAUAUGCUUGUCUCAAAGAUUAAGCCAUGCAUGUCUAAGUACGACUUAAGUACGGUGAAACUGCGAAUGGCUCAUUAAAUCAGUUUUGGUUCAUUUGAUCGUAAAUUUUUACAUGGAUAACUGUUGUAAUUCAAGAGCUAAUACAUGCAAACAGCGUUACUCUAUGAGUGACGUGCUUUUAUCAGAUCAAAAUCAAUCACCUUCGGGUGUUCCACAUUGUGGCGAGUCUGGAUAAUUUUAGCUGAUCGCAUGGUCUUUAGUACCGGCGAUGGAUCAUUCAAGUGUCUGACCUAUCAACUGUCGAUGGUAGCGUAUUGGUCUACCAUGGUUGUAACGGGUAACGGAGAAUUAGGGUUUGGUUCCGGAGAGGGAGCCCGAGAAACGGCUACCACAUCCAAGGAAGGCAGCAGGCGCGCAAAUUACCCAUUCCCGACUCGGGGAGGUAGUGACGAAAAAUAACAAUUCAAGACUCUAAACGAGGCCUUGAAGUUGGAAUGAGUACACUUUAAAAUUUUUAACGAGUAUCUAUUGGAGGGCAAGUCUGGUGCCAGCAGCCGCGGUAAUUCCAGCUCCAAUAGCGUAUACUAAAGUUGUUGCGGUUAAAAAGCUCGUAGUUGGAUCUUGGGGCGUGUGCAUGCGGUCACCCGAAAGGUGUGUACUGCUUGACGUGUUCUUCUAUUUGGUUGCGCGUGUGUGUUCUCUUAACUGAGUGCCGCACUCGACCGAAACGUUUACCUUGAAAAAAUUAGAGUGUUCAAAGCAGACCAUUGUUGUCUGAAUAUUCGUGCAUGGAAUAAUAGAAUAGGAAUUCGGUUCUAUUUUGUUGGUUUUCGGAACUCGAGUUAAUGAUUAAGAGGGACAGACGGGGGCAUUCGUACUCUGCCGUUAGAGGUGAAAUUCUUGGAUCGGCGGAAGACGCGCAACUGCGAAAGCAUUUGCCAAGAAUGUUUUCUUUAAUCAAGAACGAUAGUCGGAGGUUCGAAGACGAUCAGAUACCGUCCUAGUUUCGACUGUAAACUAUGCCAGCUAACGAUCAGACAGCGUUCUCUACGACUUGUCUGGCAGUUUCCGGGAAACCAAAGCGUUUGGGUUCCGGGGGAAGUAUGGUUGCAAAGCUGAAACUUAAAGGAAUUGACGGAAGGGCACCACCAGGAGUGGAGC
This 1167-nucleotide ribosomal RNA is filed under the name marine metagenome. Its description in RNAcentral is "SSU rRNA". It matches the Rfam family "Eukaryotic small subunit ribosomal RNA", at positions 19 to 1182 of the family's 1831-position model. The record is from RNAcentral.